Molecule: long non-coding RNA, 5357 nt
Organism: Ailuropoda melanoleuca (giant panda)
Lineage: Eukaryota; Metazoa; Chordata; Mammalia; Carnivora; Ursidae
Exons: 7
Source: RefSeq, a predicted model, not a curated record
UGAUCCACCGAGUGCUGCUUAUGAAUCCCAAGAGACCCAAGUCUCUGCCUGAAGUCUGUUUCCUGGGAACCUGAUCUGCAGCAUUGAAGAAAUGAAGCCUAGUGAAUGGAGAGAGGAUGGAGCCAAACCGGGUUCUUCUCUUCCGGGAAAAUCAGUGAGAAAGAAACGGAGUCUCAUGGAGAUGGAGGAAGUCACCCAUGUUUACAGACCUGCAAUCUGUCCUGGCAAUCUGUCCAUCAGGAUGCAUCUUAAAUGUCACCAAGAAUUCCCCCAAACUUUGCAAGACUCCAUUGUGCUGGGAAGUAUUCUUGACUGACACUCCUCAGAAUCUCUUGAGGAGCUUUCUACCUUACAUGUGUGCAGAGUAGGAUGAUGCAUGAUUUUUUAAUAUUUAUACUUUUCCAUAAUUGCAAGAAUUCCAGCUUUUCCUCCAAUAUUAUAUUUAAACAAAUAGAUGCUAGGUUAAACAGGUGCGUGCACACAUACGCACACACACACAUUCUCCUUAUUUUGCUGUAAUUUUGUGUUACCCAGACACCUAUCAAUCUGUCCUUCCUGUGACCUUGAUAUUGGAACUGCAGGUGCCUUGGAGAGGCAGACAAACACAACACAUAGGUCACCAGGAAAAUGUGCCACUGUGCAAAUUCUUCAGACAUGCCCAACGCUUAGGCAAAAUCUCUACUGGCGUAUGAGGAGAGCAAGUCUCAGAUAAAGUCCUGCGACAUGCUGGAGCCUAAGCCAAAGGAAAAAUGGGUGCUUCUGUAUACCUUUAUCGAAAGUUUAUAUUUAUAUUAUUAAUAUAUUAUACACUCAUAUAGACACUACACAUUAGAAAAAUAUAACAGCAUAUUAAUUAUGUUAUACAUUACAUAACUGAUUAUAAAGGAUAUAUUAUAUAAACACAUUACGUUUUAUAUACUAAUGUUAUUUUAGAGAUAUUAAUAUCAAAAGUUAAUGAAAGCUCUAAACUUAAAAAAAUGACUGUGUAUCAAGCCUGCUGGGGUUGUGCAAUCUGUUUGCGUGUUAUUGUCAACCCCCAUAAACCGCACCGUGGGGGGGCCCAGGUGCAGGCCCAGAACCGGGGGCUGAUUGCAAACAACUGUUCCCAUUGCACAACAGUGCCGGGUUGUAAAACAAACAUCAACAGCCUGUCUUUACUUAAAAUUUGAUAUUUUGUCUAUCAUCGAUUUAAAAAAAAUUAUUGCAUUAAAAUAUGGGUUUGGUGCCCUUUUAAAUUGUGCACCUGAGGCAGAUGCCUCACUGAUGUCUGGUCCUGGCUCUGUGGCCACGCAUGUAGCUACUUAGUCACUGAGUAUUUAUUAGCAAACAAACUCAAAAGUGACGUGUGAGCUGUUCUGUGCCCUUGAUGAAGUUCCAGGCCGCUCUCCACUCGGUGAAAGUUCUCCAGAGGCAAUUUUCCCAGACCCCAGAGUCAGGAUUCUGUGACUCUCAGCCUACAUCACACAAGGAGAAUCCUCCAAGUUCAUGGCUGUUUACACAGGACCAUUUAGGGGAUGGCCUCAAGCACCAGUCUCAGUGCAAGGCUAGAGGCCUCGUUAGAGUUUUACACCCUGUUCCAGCAAGACUGGAGACCCUCUUUUCAAGCUCAAUCUCAUGCAGAAGCUGACAUGUGAAACACACUGGCAGAGCUUCUCUGGAUGAAGCAGACAUGGGGGCCGGGAGCACCAGUCCCCAAGCCCCUCGUGGAAUUAUUACAGUUUCCUCAUGGCGCAAGCCUCAGUUGGAUCGUCUAUGGAACUGGGCUUUGCAAAAUAGCUGUUUCCUCAGGUUCUUCCCAAGCUGCUGUCCACUCUCAUUCCGUGAUGCCUACAGACUAAAAGCUUUGCAGACCUCCCCCAUCCCAAAUCUUCAGCAGAAAGCUUUCUCUUGUUUUCAUUAGCUCGGUGCAAGAAGUCGCAUGUAAGACUCUGGGUCUGAAUGCCUGAGGUACAAUGCACACUUGGAAGGGCUGCCUGUGGAAUGGAAGAAAACUGGAAAAACAAGAACCUGAUCUAGGUGGAUGGCCAAUUGCAGUAGCCCGAACAUGCAGGUGCUCGCCGUCUACCCCAGUCGGGAAGCAGGUGAUCUUCCUUCUGAGAAACUGGCAGAAGAUCACGAGUAGCCUACCGCCGUGUCACGGGGCAAACGUCACUCCCCUCACUUCAUGCCAUCACGUGGGCAUUUGAACAUCUCACAUCGUCACAAGAAGGGUGAGUGCAGUCCGGUAAAAUAUUUGGAGAGAGACAACGUUCACAUAACUUGUAUUGAGGUCUCUAUGUACCGGAAAGGACAUAGGACAUGCAGGGUUCGUUCGGCCCUAUCUGCCAUUUCAGGCAUCCCCUGGGCGUCUGGGAACGUAUCCCCUCAGAGAUCAUGACAACUGGCUGCUCCUCUGUGGGCGUUUUACAAUUGCUUUUUCAUCUGCUCGGAGCCUCAGAUAAAGUAGGCUGUCCUCCGUGAACCAGGGGAAAGGCAUGGCGAGGCAGCGCGGACUGGAAGCAGAAGGCAGGGGUGCUGUGCUCUUCGGCUUCUCGAUGCUUCUGUGCAGGUGACAGCGAUGGCCUAUUCGGCACUGGAUUGUCCUGCUGUCUCCGGGAGCUCUCAGAGCUGACUCUCACUGUUUCCAGGUGCCGCAAAGCCUGAAUAGGUCAUUCUGGAAACAAAGAUGGGCUGAUCAGAGCCCUCCAGAUAAAGAAUUCUACAUAGGUUUGGUUCCUCUUGCCUACAUCUUGGGGGACCAGCUGCCUCAUGGAAAACGUGGCAGGUUUUUGUUUUUGGUGUUUUUUGGAUUUUACCCCGUGUGUUUUGGAGAGACUAUGGAGGUCAAGGGAAGAUGCAAACAAGCUUUGGGGAGGCAAAUCUAGGUGCAUCUUGGUUCUGCUCCUCCCCCCACCCCCAUCUUUGCCAAAAGCUUUGUCAUCCCGUGUGCUGAUGACUCACAGCAUCGUGGGGGAGGCAGGGCAGGGCUCCUGUACUCCUGUUGGAAGGAGAAGAUGCCAUAUGCAUCCAGUCACCUGGAAACCCCUUCUCCAGACCACAAAGGGAGGUCUGUGCCUUGGGAAGAAGAGGUCGACCUGAAAGUGGAUGGGGGAGCUGGCCCCCGGGGGUGGGCAGCAGAGUGGGGCUGGGGGAGCAGGACAGUGGGUAGCUCGACCACUUGCAUCACUCUGGCAACAAGCUCUGUCUACGGAGUUACUCUCUGCUUGGAGAAAGGGUUUAGGGAACGGCCAUGGGCUUGUUGUGUGGAAUGGAAACAUACCCGGAAUGAAAAGAUUUUGAAACUGGAACCGCUUGAGGUCAGAUUUUCAAUGGUCACACAGCAUGAGCCAAAUUGACUCCAUGCAGGGAAGCAACAAGCCACCCCAGUUCCCUAUAUUAUUUUAAUAACAGAAAGAAUGUAUUAGGAAUUCCAGGCAAGACCUCCACCUGGGCACGGUCCCAGAUUCUAACUCAUCUCUUCAUGCCUUUUCAAAUGAGCCUUUUACAAAGAGGCUGUUUUUCUCUCCGACCUCUUCCGGACCAGUGAAGGCAUCUGAGAGUCCCCCCUCCCAGCUUUGGCUGUAGGAAGCAAGAAACCUGAGAAACACCCCUGCCCCCCAGCUCUGAGCAUGGAGACUCUGUGCAAAGUUGCUAAGAAAACUCCAGCGCUCUUUGGGGUGGCCUUUUGUUUGUUAAAUUAAUUAAACAAGGAGGCCAUCACGCUGAGGCGGCUCUAAUGCCGUGGGGGCCUAUGUAAGCAAACCCAAACCUCGGCCUAUAAGUGCCUUGAGGUCACACCACCAGCACACCCAGGACAACCACCCACAAACAGCCAACUAGGCUCUAAGCUGUAGCCGGUCAAUGACUGCUUUACUUUGCUUCUGCCUUUUCUCUAGAAACGUCACAGCCUGAGCUCCUGUUGCUGGAAUGCUCCUCACCACUUCUGGUUUUGUGUGGUCUGACAGAAAUAGAAUUUUGCUCAAAGACACUCUUAAACAUUGUUAAUAUGCCUCCGUUUAUCUUUUAACGCGUUCAAAAGCCAAGGUCUCUCCUAGGAGGUGGCUGGAGGCACGGCGGCCUUCUCCCCGGCCUGGACGUCAGGGAACGGAGCGGGGGCCCAGUCGGGUGGUUGUUUCGGUCAGAGUCCGGGCGACAGCUGAGAGUGGAUGUCACCAUGUUGACAAGGUCGUGGGCUCCGCCAAAGUGGCAGGAGGAGCCCGGUGGUGCCCGCAGCCUGCUCUGAGAGCCGGGAGGGAGGAGGGAGAGCCUGCAUGUCCUGACAAUAAUUAGGGUCUUUCUCAGCACCUAGAACAUUGCCGACAUUUAAAACAGAAUGCUGUUGUCACGCUUGUUAAUUUUACCCUCUUGGGCCCCAAAUGGCUCACAUAACACUUGACUGUUUUUCCACAUCACAGAGACCAGACUGGAUUUUCUCGGAAGGCAGUCAAUUCUAUUCCCAGCCAGAGAGGGACCAAAAAAAGAAAAAAAAAAUCUUCUCGCUAUAAACAUGAUAGGUGCCGUACUCCACUUCUUCCGUCCGUGGGGAGUCUUUGGAGGCAGUUUAGGGUUGAACGCCGGUUCCACCAAUCGCCGCUGGUGAGCUCGGAUUUGUCACUUGAUCGUCCUCAUUUGUACAAAGCAGAUGAUAAUAGCCGUUAAGCAGAUUAAAUGCAGGGUUCUUAGCACGUAGCCUGGCACACAUUAAGUGCUCAAAGGGAGCUGUUGGUGUAAUUAUGAGGCUUUCCAUGGAGUUAGGCAGUAGAAGCCUCUGGAAGUGGCGUCCUCUGAAGUGAUCAAGCAGAAACAUUCUGAGCUGCUCCCCUUAUUGCCACUUCCGGGGAGAUGUCGCCAUUGUUAUGGCAACCGGAUUUCUGGGCCAGGAGAAAUCCCUGUUGGGCUCUCUCUGCCUGAGGUGUUUAUGGCCGAGCCCGUGGCCCUCGCUCUCAUAGGGAGAGCCCAUUCUCUUCAGCACGUCAGGUAUGGAGAAUAAACUCCUAGAAAGGAAGGACCUCAUGUGACUUUUUGCACACCAUUUUACCCCCAGCAGCCCUUGGCACAUUGUGGGCACUCGUGGAUAUUUGUGGAAGGAAGUCAUGAUGGAUGGGGCAGAAGGCAGAGGGCCACGUGGCUGUUCCUGGGUCAGACUCAGCUCACCUUCUGCCGAGCACAGCGCAGGCAAGCAGAGCUCGUGACCAGUAGAUCCUGACGUGGUUCUUAGGGACCCGACUUUGGGCAACCGCAUAGAUGCAAACUCAGGUCUCUUCGUAAUUAUUCAAAGAAGCAGAUGUCUUGGAGCAAUGACUUCUCAGGAUGUAGAGAAGUAAGAAACAGGUCCAGGUGAGAACUGUAUCUUGGUUAUACUGUGUAAGGGUUUUUGC